GCCAGGUGGAGUGGUGCACGCCUGUAAUCCCAGCAGCUUGGGAGGCUGAGAGAGGAGAAUCAUGAGUUCAAAGCCAGCCUCAGCAACUGUGAGGCAUUAAGCAACUCAGUGAGACCCUGUCUCUA
RNAcentral lists this small RNA (125 nucleotides) under Marmota monax (woodchuck). Lineage: Eukaryota; Metazoa; Chordata; Mammalia; Rodentia; Sciuridae. The record is from RNAcentral.